UUUGUUUUAUCACAACGAUCUCACUCAACAACAAAAUACAACACUCAACAAACCCUUUAACCAGAACCACCUACACCCAUUCAAAGUUCCGACUUCGUCUCUGCCGCAGCCAACCGCUCCGGUUCUCCACCACCAAUACUCACCACCUUCGAUCCUUUGAUACGAUCCGGCGCCAACUUCCCGAUCGAAACAGUCAACACUCCAUCCUCAAGCUUAGCAUUCACCUUAUCCAAGUCAACAUUCUCCGGCAACCUAAACUGUCUCCAAAACUUCCCAUACGACCGUUCGCACCGGUGCCAGUGAUCACCACUAUCUCUUUCCUCCUUCUCUCUCUUCCUUUCCCCACUAACCCUCAAAACCCUAUUCUCCUCAACCUCAAUCUUCAACUCUUCUUUCUUCAUUCCAGGAACAUCCAUUGUGAUCACAUGACCGUCACUUGUCUCCUUCCAGUCGACCCUAGCCGGCGACACGAUAACUUCGUCGUCGCGUUCGAUCCCGAAUGGGAUCUGCUCUAGUUCCUUAAAGGGAUUGGUAAAUAUGUCAGACCGCAUGAGAUCGGAUAGCAAACUGGUACCCAUUGGGUCGGGAUGAUGGUCGAGUAAAGAUAGCAAAGACCCGGAACAUUGUCCGGAAAAGAAGAGAAACAAAAAUGCUGGUAGUAGAUAAUAGCUCUCAUGGAACAGGAUGAAAUCAGUUAAUGCUGGUAAUUGUGUUGGUUAGUUUGUUUCGAUUGUUUCAAUG
RNAcentral lists this long non-coding RNA (741 nucleotides) under Helianthus annuus (common sunflower). The record is from RNAcentral. Lineage: Eukaryota; Viridiplantae; Streptophyta; Magnoliopsida; Asterales; Asteraceae.